RNAcentral lists this transfer RNA (74 nucleotides) under Ixodes scapularis (black-legged tick). Its description in RNAcentral is "tRNA-Pro". The stretch from base 10 to 66 matches the Rfam family "tRNA", at positions 8 to 63 of the family's 71-position model. Rfam says of the family: Transfer RNA (tRNA) molecules are approximately 80 nucleotides in length. Their secondary structure includes four short double-helical elements and three loops (D, anti-codon, and T loops). Further hydrogen bonds mediate the characteristic L-shaped molecular structure. tRNAs have two regions of fundamental functional importance: the anti-codon, which is responsible for specific mRNA codon recognition, and the 3' end, to which the tRNAs corresponding amino acid is attached (by aminoacyl-tRNA synthetases). tRNAs cope with the degeneracy of the genetic code in two manners: having more than one tRNA (with a specific anti-codon) for a particular amino acid; and 'wobble' base-pairing, i.e. permitting non-standard base-pairing at the 3rd anti-codon position. Lineage: Eukaryota; Metazoa; Arthropoda; Arachnida; Ixodida; Ixodidae. The record is from RNAcentral.
GGCCACCCCUAGUCUAGGGGUAUGAUUCUCGCUUUGGGUGCGAGAGGUCCCGGGUUCAAACCCCGGUGCGGCCC